AAAAAUCCCACAGCAGCGCAUCACUGGUGCAUACGGGUGAUGUUUCCGAACGCCUUGGUUGUUCAUAUCCGUUACACUAAACUUUCAAUCCUCUUCCCUUUUUAGUUUCAAUCUCAUGGCAAUACACUCCAUUGAGAUAUUUUCUACAUCCAUAAUCGCCGUUGCGGUUGCGGCCUUGGUCGAGUUACUGUCGUGUUCAGACACGUUACGCAUGUGUCCUUUGGACCUUAUUUUUGAAUUCUAUUCUUUUUUAAAGAGGAAUUCUUUCUGUAGCAUCCUAUCAGUAACUCUCAUCUAAAUAAAAUUUCUGAUACUAACCCACAACUUGAUCUCUACAACAUUAGCGCUAUUUAUAUUCAUCGACUUGGCCGUGUGGGCCUGUGUAUCUCAGGCCCGGUGCCAUUCACAAGAAGAAGAAGAGUACAUCCAUAAUCGAGAAAAGUACGAGUAACAAGAUUUCACUGUGAUAAAAGAAAAAGAUUCGCAAGAGUGAAGAUAAAAAACAAAAAUAAUAUAGCGUAAUAAGCACUGAUUGAGCCUGGAGAAUAUCAGUAAAGCCACAAGUUAAUAAUAUUAAAUAAGAAAUUAACAUAUUUCCUUAUUUGUGAUAAGAGAGCAAAAUCUGCAAGAGUGAAGAUAAAAAAACGAAAAUAGUAUAUGCAUUGAAUAGUGCCACAAAGAUUGAAGAGUUCGAUCCAGCAUCAUAUAGAUUCUAACCCUAACGUAAUCUAAUU
This is a long non-coding RNA of Formica exsecta, 734 nucleotides long. RefSeq lists it as uncharacterized. Lineage: Eukaryota; Metazoa; Arthropoda; Insecta; Hymenoptera; Formicidae. The transcript is spliced from 3 exons. The record is from RefSeq and is a predicted model, not a curated record.